AUGUUAAUCGGGGGGGAUUUUAAUAUCCUUCGAUAUCAAGAGGAAAAAAACAAUGAUCGGUUUGACACUAGGUGGCCUUUCCUCUUUAAUGUUGUUAUUGACAGCCUGGAUCUGAGGGAGAUCACGAUGUCUGGUCGUCAGUAUACCUGGGCCAAUAACCGAUCGGUGCCAACCUUUGAAAAACUAGACCGGGUGCUAGUUACCACUGAUUGGGAAUAUAAAUAUCCCCUAGCCUCGGUUCGGGCACUAGAAAGAAUUGAGGCCUUAUCGGAUCACGCUCCGUUGCUAACCGAUUUUGGACAACCAAUCCCAUGUUCUAACCGUGAUCAGUUUAAAUUUGAACUUGGAUGGCUCACUAGAGAGGGAUUUCAUGAGCUGGUUAAGAAGGUGUGGGCGCGCCAGCCUCGCGGUAACACACCCAUUCAACGAUGGAAUAAUCGAAUCCGCGCCUUGCGUCGAUUCCUUCGAGGAUGGGCCAAACAUACUGCUGGUAUUUACAAAAAAGAAAAAAUGCGAUUGUCUACCUUAAUUGAUACCCUUGAUAAAAUUGCGGAGGUGAGGCCUCUGUCUGCUGUUGAGAUUGAAAAAAAGUAG
RNAcentral lists this ribosomal RNA (594 nucleotides) under Triticum aestivum (bread wheat). Its description in RNAcentral is "partial small subunit ribosomal RNA". The record is from RNAcentral. Lineage: Eukaryota; Viridiplantae; Streptophyta; Magnoliopsida; Poales; Poaceae.